GCAAGAUGGCGACAGCGGCGGCGCGACCCCGGCCUGCUGUGGGCUGGCUGUGGAGCGAGCGCUUCUGGCGGCCCCAGAUCGUGAGCCGGGCUGACCUGGAGGGCCGGGCGAUGGCUACGGCUACCGCGCCCAACGCAUCUUCUCGGCGUUCCCAGUGGCGGGCACCUUCUCCGUGACACUGCUCUUUGAGCGGUUUAUUGCCAAACCCUGUGCACUCCAUGUUGGCAUCGAGGACAGUGGUCCUUAUCAGGCCCAACCCAAUGCCAUCCUCGAAAAGGUGUUCAUAUCUAUUACCAAGUAUCCUGACAAGAAAAGGCUGGAGGGUCUAUCAAAGCAACUGGACUGGAAUGUCCGAAAAAUCCAAUGCUGGUUUCGCCAUCAGAGGAAUCAGGACAAGCCCCCAACGCUCACUGAAUUCUGUGAAAGCAUGUGGAAUUUCUCUGGUUGUCACCUUGGUUCUGGGACAUCUGACAAUGCUGGCAUGGCUAUCCAUUUCAGCCUCUUUCACGUGGGCUUUAUUACUGUUCUAUCAUGGAAUUGGCCUUCUAUUGGUCUCUUAUGUUUUCUCAGUUUAGAGACAUUAAAAGAAAGGACUUUCUGAUCAUGUUUAUGCAUCACUUGGUCACCACUGGGCUUAUCACCUUCUCCUACAUCAACAACAUGGCUCGGGUGGGAACUCUGAUCAUGUGUCUACAUGACACCUCAGACUUCUUGCUGGAGGCAGCCAAGCUGGCCAAUUAUGCCAAGUAUCAGCGGCUCUGUGACACCCUUUUUGUGAUUUUCAGUGCUGUUUUUAUGGUCACUCGUCUAGGAAUCUAUCCAUUCUGGAUUCUGAACAUGACCUUCUUUGAGAGUUAGGAGAUGAUCGUGCCCUAUGCUUCCUGGUGACUCUUCAAUGGCCUUCUGCUGACCCUACAGGUUCUGCAUGCCAUCUGGUCCUAUCUAAUUGUACGAAUUGCUUUCAAAGCCUUGAUGUGGGGAAAGGUAUCUAAGGAUGAUGUCAGUGAUGUGGAAAGCAGCUCAGAAGAAGAAGAUGGGACCACCUGCACAAAAAGCCCCUGUGACAGUAGCUCCAGCAAUGGUGCCAAUCAGAUAAAUGGUCACAUGGGAGGCAGCUACUGGGCUAAAGAGUAAGGUGGUUGGUAUGGGGACUUAAGUAUACAUGGACAUAUAGGGCCAUUGGCAACAUACUCCACUUGGGUCUCCCAACAUCUACUCUCCUGUGACUGUGGGACUGCAGGCACUGAGGACACUCAAAGAAGCAAAUGUUUUCACUUUUUUAAAAAACUCUGCCAUUUUGUAUUUAAUAGCCUCCGGGUCCUAUCAGUACCAUUAUUUGCUGUGUGUCUGUUUGUGUGCUUAUGCAUGUGCAUUUGUGCAUAUGCAUGAGUUUCAUUGCCUGGGUUUCAUUGCCUGGGUUCUUGCCUUUGAACCCACUUCAAGCCCAGAUUUGGCUGCAUCUUGAAUUAUGCUGGCUCCAGACUAUCCCCUUCCUUUUUGUCCAUGGCUCUUGAGGCUCUAACUCCUGGACUGUCUGAAAGGAGCUGCUAAGUUCAGCUCCUGGUUUCUGCACUGUUCUUCUUUUGGAGCUGGAAUAUUUCACAAACUGAAGUUGUAAAGAAACAGAACCAUGAUGGAUGGCCAGGAUUGCUGUGACCCCUCGCUAGAUCCUCUUCCUAUCAUCUGAUAGUGACAGGAACAGCUGCUGAUACCCUGCUCUUUACUCAAUGGUAUGCAGGGAGGGGGGUGUGGGAGAGGGUGAGCCAAGGGCUGGAGGAGGACAAGAGCCACUGGGUGAGCUGUUAAUGGUUUUAUAUAUUGUUUACUUUUCCAUGAAUAAAAGUGCUUCAGCCCUCCUCAAAAAAAAAAAAAAAAAAAUACCACACACUGGGU
Non-coding RNA from Microcebus murinus (gray mouse lemur), 1893 nucleotides. Lineage: Eukaryota; Metazoa; Chordata; Mammalia; Primates; Cheirogaleidae. The record is from RefSeq and is a predicted model, not a curated record.